UACGUAGGGCGCAAGCGUUGUCCGGAUUUAUUGGGCGUAAAGAGCUCGUAGGCGGUCUGUCGCGUCGGCUGUGAAAACCCGAGGCUCAACCUCGGGCCUGCAGUCGAUACGGGCAGACUAGAGUGCGGUAGGGGAGACUGGAAUUCCUGGUGUAGCGGUGAAAUGCGCAGAUAUCAGGAGGAACACCGGUGGCGAAGGCGGGUCUCUGGGCCGUAACUGACGCUGAGGAGCGAAAGCGUGGGGAGCGAACAUG
This 253-nucleotide ribosomal RNA is filed under the name uncultured bacterium. RNAcentral's name for it is "partial 16S ribosomal RNA". It matches the Rfam family "Bacterial small subunit ribosomal RNA", at positions 524 to 776 of the family's 1533-position model. The record is from RNAcentral.